UGGGGAAUUUUCCGCAAUGGGCGAAAGCCUGACGGAGCAAUGCCGCGUGGAGGUGGAAGGCCUACGGGUCGUCAACUUCUUUUCUCGGAGAAGAAACAAUGACGGUAUCUGAGGAAUAAGCGUCGGCUAACUCUGUGCCAG
Molecule: ribosomal RNA, 141 nt
Filed under: uncultured bacterium
Lineage: Bacteria
Description: partial 16S rRNA
Rfam family: Bacterial small subunit ribosomal RNA
Source: RNAcentral